This is an RNA transcript of Wyeomyia smithii (pitcher-plant mosquito), 3661 nucleotides long. It is a transcript of the gene named zinc finger protein 62-like, with no coding region annotated. The transcript is spliced from 7 exons. The record is from RefSeq and is a predicted model, not a curated record. Lineage: Eukaryota; Metazoa; Arthropoda; Insecta; Diptera; Culicidae.
AGAUCCGACCGAUCCUCAGAAGUGAUAUCGACGUAAACAAGUUUUUACUAUUUUACUAAAUCGUGAAAAUUGAGCAUUCGAUUAUAACUAAUAUUUUGUGCAGUCAAUGAAUUUUUAAGGAUAAAAUGGAAACUUCAUUAUCGAGCCAAAAUUCAGCUCAGCUUGGUGUGGGAUACUGUGUUAAAAUUGAAAGUCAAAGCCAUGAUCUGACUGGAAGCCCAGCUUCUGCGGAAAAAGACUUAUUGCACAAAUGCUGGAUAUGUGGUAAACCAUCUUCGACCGCAUUCGGUCUGCAGAGACAUCUUGAAGACUACCACAACACUUUCCAGUGUAAAAAAUGCGAGCUAGUAUUCACCGAUUACGCACUGCUUAGUGAGCAUCAGGAAACUCAUCCCAAACCGAAGCGAAAGCCAAAGGCUCCUCCAAAGAGCUACCAGUGCAGCACAUGUGGUGCUGAAUUUCAAACAGCUGCAUCCUUCAAUGCUCACAAAAAGUCAGCCCAUCCUUUGGAGGAACGGUUCGAGUGCGACUGCGGACGCAGAUUUUUCACCAGUGCCCAACUUGAGAAUCACAUGCUGGUGCAUACGGAUGGAAAUCGAAACUUUUGCGAUAUUUGCGGGAAUUAUUUUACCUCGAAUUCCGUGCUGCACACACAUCGCAGAAAGGUUCAUGACUUGCCGCUGCCCUAUCAGUGUCCGCAUUGUGAGGAAAGUUUCGCCGACAAUAAAUCUCUGACGCAGCACAGUUUUGUCCACCGAAAGAGGGAACAUUUCGAGUGCGAAUUGUGUGGCAUGAAGUACUACCAGCGCAUUAGUUUAAGGUUUCACAUGGAGAAGAGGCACGGUCCAAACGAGGGGAGUAACCAAGGCGAGUCGAGAAACGGGACAAUAAUUACUCCGCCCGUCCUGAAUUGUGAUAAACCCUUUCAGUGUGACAUGUGUGAAAAAACAUUCCGCCUAAAACCAUUCCUGACAGCCCACAGAAAGUGCCACACGGAUGUGGGCAAACCAUUCGUAUGCGACAUCUGCGGGAAAGAGUUUCGGUUGAAAAAAAUGCUACAAGCACACUCGUUAGUCCACAGCAACGAACGGCCCCACCAGUGUACUAUCUGUCAAAAGUCAUUCGCCGCUCGAAGCUAUUUAACGGUUCACAUCCGCAUCCACACCGGUCAGGAACGGUUUAGGUGUGAAUUUUGCGACAGAGGUUUUAAUUCGCAAGCGCACCUGCAGGGCCAUCGCCGAAGUGUGCACACCGGUGAGCGACCGGAGAAGUGUGACAUAUGCGAGAAAACUUUCGUAACCCAUACUCGAAUGUUACAACACCGGCGCAUGCACACGGAGGAGAAGAAUAAACUGUGCGACAUCUGUGAUAAAGCGUUUCGUACCUCGCAGCAGUUGCAGCGGCAUCAAAAAGUUCACUUGGGAGUGUGGCCUGUGAACUGCGAAAUUUGCGGUAAAGGCUUUCUUGACAAUCACCGGCUGAAGAAACACAUGCCGAUCCAUACGGAGGGCAGGCUUCCCCAUGGGUGCGAUCUGUGUGAACAAUCUUUCGCCUCACCGAGUAAGCUUGCGACGCAUAAACGGGUUCACUUGGGAGAUGAGAAGACGAACCAAACACCCAAUCAGCAAGCACUGGAUGAUGCCAAUAGAACCAUUAGAACUGAAAUCGAUAAUAAUUCCUAGUACGCAGGUGAAAUUCGAUGAUUUAAUAUCAUAUUGUUGAUAAAAUGGUUCCUCCACUAUUGGAUCAUAAGAUACACUAUGCUCCUAUAGUUGCGUUAUGUUUCGCAUUUCUGGUUGCACUGUGUUAAACGUAGCACCCACUGACUUCAUAAACGUCAAAAACGUCCUCCGCGUUGCACUUUCGUUUGUUGUUUGUAGUGGAUUGAAGCAGUGUUUUUUUUCGGCCUUUCCUGCUUUAAAUCGUGCUCUUAAAAUAUGGAAUUUCAUAAUAGCCGCGAACCCCAAAAGAAAAAACCAGCUCGCCAGUGCUACUGUGAAAAUGACGUGCAGCGAAGUCUUCUCAGCAUCAAGGAAGGAAAACAAACUGCUUACUGGGCUGCAAUAUCUUCUACAAAGAAGACACGAAAAGGACCCCAAACGGUGUUGUCGGAGGAGGAGUUGAAACUUGUUGGAUGGAUCAAAAACAUGCAACGAAAGGGUUUUCCGAUUAUAAGGGAAACUCUGAAAUCAAAAAUACAUCGUUUUUCAAUUCUUAUCCACGACCCAAUCCCUUCUGCAAAAAUGUUCCUGGUCGGAAAUGGUUCCAGAGUUUUCUCAAGAGGCAUGAAACCCUCACGAUACGAACGCCAGAGGCUGUCUCCUCAGCGAGUGCCAAGGUAAGCGAGGUCAACAUUCGGGGCUGGUUUCACGACUUUAAAACAUAUGCGAUAGAGCACGGAACUGCGCACAUUCUUCAGGAUCCGUCAAGGAUGUGGAAUGGAGACGAGACAUGCUUCUACCUAAACCCAAAAAAUAAAGCUGUGUUGGCUAUUCGUGGGAGCCACAAUGUUUACGAAGUAGAACAUGCCAGCAGACGGCUUAGUUGUGCCUCCAGCCGUCAUCUUGCCUUUGGAAAGAAUUCGCUCGGACUUGUUGCGAACAUUUCCGGCCGAGUGGGGUAUUGGAAAAAGUGCUAAAGGAUGGAUGGAUGCCAACAAUUUCGAAUUGUACAUUCGGAAGGUAUUUUACCCCUUCCUUUUGAAGACGGGAGUAACUCUUCCUGUGUAUUAUUUUGUCGACGGGCAUUCAUCGCAUAUGGCAGCAAAUGUAGCUGAUUCGUGUUGCGAGUUAGGAAUAAUUCCAGUUGUGUUAUAUCCUAACACAACUAGGAUUACACAGCCCGCUGACGCUGAUAAGCACAAUAGAAAUGUUCUUACAUUAGAUGACUUCAGACAUCAUCGUAUCUGGAUUCAAAACCUGCGGAUUGUACCCGUUCGACCCGGCCAGGUUCACACAAUCCAGCAAUGAGAAAACUAAAUACCUGGAUGAAUCAUCGGUGCACCCUUUCAAAAAUGCGACUAUCAUCGAUUCAUUUCUUACGGAGCCGGAAAUCUUGCAUACGUCAGUAACCUUUCAGUCACCUAAUCAUAAAAAUUGCAAACGUAAAUUCUACCCUGUCCUUACUGCUGGUGAACGCCUAGAGGAGAUUCGCCGAAUCGAGGAGGAGAAGGAGAAAACGAUUCAAGAGAGAAAAGAAAAGACAGAGAUACGCGCUGCAAAAAAGGUGGAAAUAGAAAAGCUGAAGGCAGCAUCACGCGAAAUACGAGCUGAGAAGAAAGUUGAACGGGAAAAACUAAAGGAAGAAACACGGUUGCUGAUGAGACAAAAAUCAGAAAAAAGAGCGAAGAAGAAACUUGAGGCUGAGAAACUAAAAGACAAAUUAAGUGAACGAAAAAGUCAGCAAGCUGCCAUUAGAAAACAGGAGCGCGAAAAUCUACGAAAAAAUGAGAAUUUUAAUAAUUGGCAAUGGCAUGACAUAAAUACACGAUUUAUAUAAAAUAUUAACGUUCAUUAUUAAAGUUAUACAUGUUGAAUUUAUUACUCCCCUCUCUCUCUCCUGAAUUGCUACAUAAAUGCUUUAAGUAAAAUCACUUAAAUGAUGCUUACUCACCGUUUGUGUUUUUAUUUUUUAUAUUUUUAAGGAGUCAUCAACAGUGCGU